This 4279-nucleotide long non-coding RNA is filed under the name Sus scrofa (pig). RNAcentral describes it as "lncRNA (ENSSSCG00000059820.1)". Lineage: Eukaryota; Metazoa; Chordata; Mammalia; Artiodactyla; Suidae. The record is from RNAcentral.
UUCAGAGACAACAAAAGCCCUAUUCUAACCAUUCUGACUUCUAGGCUCUACUAUCCUUUUACAACUUUUCUUCUGCCAGAGAGACCUCCGAGUUAUCUUUCUUCCUUCAAUGUGAUAGCUAUGACCCAAAUCUAGUUGUUAUAUGAGGUAAUGUCUCAGUAAUCCCUUUAGUAAUCACAUCCCUUUAUUUUUCCAGCAAGACUGAUUUUCAGGGUCUUGAAUGCAGGUACCAUUUACAGAGUCUUAGGGGUAUGUGACUUGAAUAAAGCUUAAGGAGGACUUAACCAGUUUAGAGCUUAGAAGUACCCAGUGACUGUGGUCUUCAAAGCAGUCGAUCAUGCUGAUGGUUUCUUUCUGAUACUUUGGUGAUAAUGUGAUGAUAGCACUACUAUUACUCUUAUUUAUUGAAAAAUUACUGUUUUAAGAUCCAUAAGGACAAUGAGGUUUAGAAAGAUUAAGUGUCAAAAAAAAAAAAAAAAAGAUUAAGUGUCAUGUUCAAGGUCCCACAGCCAGUUAAGAGGCAGAAGCAAUAACAUUUGAAUCUACAACCAUUUUACCGAAGAGCAAAUGUUCCUAACAAUGAAGCUAAAAUCCCAUGUUUGUGACCUGAUGUGUUUUUCCUGUUGCCUGUGUCCUUUCCCUUAGCUAACAUUUAUAGAGGACGUUUUAAUGCCAGGUAGGAUCUUAAAGACAUAUUACAACAUAUUAACUCAUUAAAUGCAUACGACAAUUUAUGAUUUAGCUAUGGUUUUACAUAUGAGACAGAAAGAGGUUAAUUAACUUGUCUGAUGCCCACUUAGUCACCAUGAAAGAGGCCCAUGUGUGAUACAACAUCUGUUGUUUAUAUGCCUCUAUGAUGGUGAAUUGAUAGUCAUGAUUCCAGAGAGUUAAUUUCCCAUUAUUUCCAUCGAACAAAAAUAAGCUACAUCUUCCCCUUUGAUGCUGUAUCAUAUAUAAAAUCCAAAGAGCCAACACUGAUUACAUUGAGCAUACAUAAAAGGCAAUGCACUUCUUAUAGGGAGUCACUUCUUAAUUUUGAUUGUUUAAUUGAAGAAGAAAAAGUGAUGUUUUGAUCAAAACCAUGAUGAAAACUAUUAUUGCUAAGGCUUUAAAGGUUAGAUUAUAUUUUAUUUCAAGCUGUUUGUGAAAUUCAGCUGUCUUAAGAUUUUAUAAUCCUCAAAUUGGCCUUAAUUAAUUUAUCAAAUCCUUUUAGCAGAAUUUAUUUCAUUGUUUUUGUGCAGCCACCAGAAACAGAGCCUCAUUAGUUUUCUGUACUCUUUAAAUUAAGUUUACCCAUAUGACCUAAUACUCCAUAUGAAUAAAUAACUUACAGUACCCCUGACCAAAAGGGAAAAGUACAGUCCUUUUUUUUUCAAGUUUAUAGUGUGAUCUGUUCCUCUGAAAUAUAUUUGUACCCAUUUUUUCCCCACUGGCAAAUAUAAAUAACUGAUGCCAUAAAUGUAUAUGAAUAACAUAAGAUAAAAACCACAAAUAUGCCAAAACUAAGAUUUGAUUGUCCUUCAUUAAAACAUAUGUAGCCUUUGGGAUGGAUUAGCAAUGGGAUCCUACUGUGUAGCACUGGGAACUCUGUCUAGUCACUUAUGAUGGAACACUUAGUGUGAGAAAAAGAAUGUAUACAUGUAUGUAUAACUGGGUCAUCAUGCUGUACAGCAGAAAAAAUAUAUAUAAAUAAAUGAUAAAAAAAAUACCCAAUAAACACUGAGAAAAGCUGACACCUUUGCUUUAAGAUGGAGUCCACUUAGGACUCCUUAAUACAUUUCUGUCACCAGCUUCCAGGCACCAUUUUCUCUCACUCCUCCUCCUGGCCCCCUCAUUGCUUCUUUUCAGUGUUUUUUUUGGUCUUCUCACCUUUGCAACAUGUGCAGGCACCACAGGAGUAAACACACAUGUUUUUCUCCAGCUACCUCUGCUUCCCAGACUCAUUUUCCGAGGACUUCCGCCAAACAUGGAUCUCAUCCAUCCGACGGCUUAGCAUAUCCUUCUGGAUAUUUAACAGUUUCCCCAGUUGCACAUGUCUGAAAUCUAACUCUUGAUUUGCACACUCCACAUCACUCCCACACCUGCACACCCUCCCAGAUUUUUGAAAGGCAUAUCCACAGUCCAGAUUCUUGGGCCAAAAUUCUCAGUUAUUCUUGACUCCCUUCAUCCUCACAGCCAAACCAUCAGUAAAUUCUGACAGCUCUUCCUUUGACCUAUGACUUGAACAAUCUGACCAUCAUGGACAAUUUCCACUACCGAGACCCUUUCUCAACCCACCAUAAAUCCUCCCUUGGACUUUUGCAAUUGUUUUUUGUUAUUCUUGCACCUGACCUGACCCCUUUAUGAUGUACACGUCACAUAUAACCAGAAGGAUCCUUUUAGGAUGUAACUCAGAUCAUGGCCACUACCCUGCAGAAAAGACCCCAAGGGUUUCCAUUGUAAGCCAGAGUGAACCCUGUCUGACCUCACUUCCCAUCACUUGCUUUUUUGCUCUUUUUACUCCAGCUUUGUGGGUCUCCUGGCAGUGCCUUGGACCUCCUGAGCUUAGGAGACCUCAGAGCCUUUUUAUGUGCUAUUUCUCUGCCUGACCUCUCUGUCCAGAUCAGUUCUUUCCCUACUUUGUCUUCUCUACAGCCCUUAUUAGCUCCUGGAAAAUCAAAUAUUCAUUUGUUUAUCUGUCUCCUUGAAUAAAAUGUAAGCUUCCAAGUGAAGAAGCUGUGUUUUGCUCCUUGUUGUACCCUUAAGGCUUGGAGCAAUACUUGGCAUACAGUAGGUAUUCAAAAUAACUUCUGAAGGAAUGUACGUAAUUCAUAAAAAUUAAAUUAUCCACACUUCAGAGAAGAAAAUUAAGAUAGUAUUGGCUUAUUUUUCUUCAGUUUAUUCCAAAUUCUCACCCCAAAUAAUUAUAAAUGCUUUAUAAAUUUCUUUUAUUCAUAGGAUCUGGUGGCUAAACCCAGGUGCACAGAAUCAUUGUAAGUUUUCAAAGGUUAAGGAAUUGGUGAAGGAUGAAGAAAAGACCUCAAAUAAAAAUUUUCUUCAGUCAACCCAGUAAAAAUUCUUAGAGAUUUGAUAUUUCUGUUUAGUAAUGAUACCAUCUUUACAAAAAGAAUAUAGCCCGUUAUGUUGAUAGGCAAAUUGAAGAUAGACAUUGCAUUUAUGAGGGUAUAAAAAUAAAUGUAAUGCUUAUUACCUUGAAAUGUAAGUGUCAGCUACUAGUGUCUCAAUUUUACAAGAUACGCAGAAGAGACACAGAUGUUCUAUUACCUAUUCCAGUUAAUUUCCUCUCUCUUUCUUUCAACAUCAUUAGCUUCUCAGAAUUAUAGAUUGUAUCUUGGGGAAAAUAAGACAAGUGUAGUAAUUUCAAUUGAAAGCUCCGCAGUUAGUUUCUCAAGGUGAUCAAAAUAUUGACGAUUCGGGAGAGUGGUAUUCCUGGAUGAGGCAGGAGAGCUCCUGCCCUUUUCUCAUACCUUGCCCUAUGCAGCUGACACUGCCAGAAAAUAAGCGGUUCUGCUAUAGUUUCUAGAAAUGAAGCAGUCUCAUAUUUCACAAAUUAAAUGUCAUACUCUAAAAUUGCUUAAGAAUAUUUUUCUUCUAUACAGUUUCUAUACAAAUGGUAUUUUUGCAGAAAGUUAUCAAAUAAUAAUGGAACUGACUUAGUUCACUGAAAUUACUAAUAUUAUAGGGAUGGUAACUAUAUCAUUUGGUUUUUAUGAAGACAGUGUUUGUGAUGAAUCAGUUACUUUCAACUUUAUAUCAGUGCCUAAGUUGUAACAUUAGGGUGAUCCACAGUUUUGUCUAUGAACACAUGGUUUCUUAACUUUCUUAAACAAUGGACUGAAAUAAGGAAACACAUAAUACUAACACACACUAUGUUUGCUCUCCGAUGGCCUAAGAUCAGAGUUGAGUGUAACUGGCAUUUUUAGAGAAUGAGUAUCAAAUUAAUUCUUGAAGACUUUGCCAGUUUUAGGAUUUAGAAAUUAAUAAUUGCCAGGCAUUGCCCCAAAGAGCCAUCUCUAAUACUUGGGAGUCUACCAUGCCAUGCUAGUGCCUGAAAGGCCACACAACAAAAUGUUCAUAAAGCAGCAUGAAAGUGCGUCAGCUCUUGAAACCCUGAAUCAGCUCUUGAAGUUCAGAUGCGUUUGUUUAAUGGCUUUGAAAAUGUUAAGAGAAAUCAAGGAAACCAUUUAUCUGGCUAAAUUUCCCAUUUAUGAUAAACUGUAUCAGCUUGUCUUAGUUAACAGGGGCCACCACUGCGGCCAUAAUACUGUUGGAUGAGUUG